UCUAUAUUCAACAGAGUUCAAUACACAAACCAUCAACAUUACCUUUAUUCAACAUGCUGUCACUGCAGCAUUGUGUGCUUUCUCUGAUGUUUCUUUCCAUUCUAACAGGUGUCAGCUGUGUAGAACUCACUCCAGUCCAGAAAGAAGAGAACAGUUUAGAAGGCAGCUCUGUUACUCUGUCCUACAGAUACUCCAAACAAGCUGAAUAUAAUGAUUAUUUCUUCUGGUAUCGACAAUAUCCAGGAAAACCACCAGAGUUCCUCAUCUUUCACUAUGGAACGCAAAAUGGAACAAACUCUGGACUGUCUGUUUCAGUGAGUGAGGAUAAAUCCAAAAUUAUUCUUCAGAUCUCCUCUGCUGCAGUGACAGACUCUGCUCUGUACUACUGUGCUGUGAGGCCCACAGUGACAGCAAACCCACAGUCUCUGUACAAAAACACAAGCUGACACACUGACAAGCUGCUGGAAGACUUUUUUCUACACUGUUGUACUGAAC
Non-coding RNA from Sander lucioperca (pikeperch), 495 nucleotides. Lineage: Eukaryota; Metazoa; Chordata; Actinopteri; Perciformes; Percidae. The record is from the annotation of a RefSeq genome assembly.